CCACGGCUCACGGGCCCAGCCGCUCCGCGGCACGUGGGAUCCUCCCGGACCGGGGCACGAACCCUCGUGCCCCGCAUCGGCAGGCGGACUCCCAACCACAGCGCCACCGGGGAAGCCCCGUGCAAGUAGUUUUGCUCCUUCCCUCCUGUCUUAGGACGUUGUCUUAGCUCGGGUUCCCCAGAGGCAGACCCUGAGACGAGGGUUUGAGGGCAAGUGAGGGAACCCCUGUAGGGAAGUGGGAGGUGAAGCAGGAAUAAAAAAGGGCCAAUAAAAGGAGUGUUAGGGAGCAGGUGACCGCCGUGGGCAACCAGUGCUCCAGCCCCCUGGGAGACAGCGAAGAGCACACACCUCCGAGCUCUGCCACCCAAGGGCAAGGGAGCAGGACGUUGAUCUGAUCUACGAACUCCCACCCAGUCAAGCUGUGGGUGCUGAGAAAGCCCUCAGAUGUGCUGAUGCCGGCAGUUGGAAGUUCAACUGGACCAACAUACACCGAAAUGAGAUUAGGACCCAGAUGCAUACAGAAGGACGACCACGUAAAGACACAGAGAGAAGACGGCCGUCUACAAGCCAAGGAGAGAGGCCUCAGAAGACACUAGCCCCACCGACACCGUCAUCUUGGACUGUCAGCCUCCAGGCUGUGAGAAAAUGCCAGUCUUACUGGGUUAGGGGCCCACCCUACUCCAGUGGAUGCAUCUGAACUAAUGACGUCUGCAAUGACCCUAUUUCCACAUAAGGUUGUAUUCUGAGGUAUGGGGGUUGGGUCUUCAACAUAUGAUUUAUUUUGUUUUGUUUUGCCACACUGUGUGGCUUGCAGGAUCUUAGUUCCCUGACCAGAGUUUGAAGCCGGGCCCCGGCACUGAAAGCACCAAGUCCUAACCAUUGGGCUGCCAGGGAGUUCCCAACAUAUGAAUUUUUGAGGACAGAACUCAGCCCAUAACACAAAGCCACGUUGUCAGAAAAGGUGACACACCUUUGUUCUCUGAGACGCUUGCUUUUGGAGCCUUGAGCCACCAUGGGAGAACUCCUGAGACCUCCACGUUGCGGGGAAGCUCGCACCACCUGGAGAGGCCGCAUAGGUCUUCCUGCCCACAGCUCUGGCUGAGGUCCCAGCAGAUGGUCAGCGUCUGCCUUCAGAUGGUUCCAGCCCCCUGGCCUCCAGUUAUUCCAGCUCUCAGCUCUUAGUAGCGAAGCUUCAGACAUGAUGGAGCCUCCUGGUCCCUCUUCUCCUGUUCCACUGGGUCUCCCCUGAAC
Molecule: long non-coding RNA, 1251 nt
Organism: Physeter macrocephalus (sperm whale)
Lineage: Eukaryota; Metazoa; Chordata; Mammalia; Artiodactyla; Physeteridae
Exons: 3
Source: RefSeq, a predicted model, not a curated record